RNAcentral lists this ribosomal RNA (518 nucleotides) under uncultured microorganism. RNAcentral's name for it is "bacterial SSU rRNA". It matches the Rfam family "Bacterial small subunit ribosomal RNA", at positions 9 to 507 of the family's 1533-position model. The record is from RNAcentral.
GAGUUUGAUCAUGGCUCAGGAUGAACGCUGGCGGCGUGCCUAAUACAUGCAAGUCGAGCGAACGGACGAGAAGCUUGCUUCUCUGAUGUUAGCGGCGGACGGGUGAGUAACACGUGGAUAACCUACCUAUAAGACUGGGAUAACUUCGGGAAACCGGAGCUAAUACCGGAUAAUAUUUUGAACCGCAUGGUUCAAAAGUGAAAGACGGUCUUGCUGUCACUUAUAGAUGGAUCCGCGCCGCAUUAGCUAGUUGGUAAGGUAACGGCUUACCAAGGCAACGAUGCAUAGCCGACCUGAGAGGGUGAUCGGCCACACUGGAACUGAGACACGGUCCAGACUCCUACGGGAGGCAGCAGUAGGGAAUCUUCCGCAAUGGGCGAAAGCCUGACGGAGCAACGCCGCGUGAGUGAUGAAGGUCUUCGGAUCGUAAAAACUCUGUUAUUAGGGAAGAACGAUAUGUGUAAGUAACUGUGCACAUCUUGACGGUACCUAAUCAGAAGGCCACGGCUAACUACGUC